Long non-coding RNA from Anolis carolinensis (green anole), 410 nucleotides. RefSeq lists it as uncharacterized. The record is from RefSeq and is a predicted model, not a curated record. Lineage: Eukaryota; Metazoa; Chordata; Lepidosauria; Squamata; Anolidae. The transcript is spliced from 3 exons.
AGGCCCUUCACCUUGUUAUAAAUAGUCCAAAGAGAGCCACUUUGCCAUCAUAUAAUUUGAAGACUUCAUGUUAUUUGUAGACUGAAGGAAAACAUUAGAAGAAAAUUUAAUUGGAAGCGGGAGGGGGGAUUCCUGGUUUCCUUUUGACAAGAGCUUUUGUGGAUUCAGUAAAUACUGAGGAUACCAUUUUGAGACAUGAAAACAUGCCAUUUCUUUUUCAUCUUCUUCAUUCUGUUGCUGGAUCAUCCAGGAGUCAUUGCAAGAAUUACCAAUUGGUCAGAUUGUCAUUUGCUUGAUGCAGUAUGUGUUGGAAAACGGCGCUGUCCUUGGCCCUUUACAAGAGAACUUGGUUACUGUAAUAAAUACAAAAAGUGUUGCCAAUAUUGAAAUUAAAUUUUUCAAGGCACAAA